Molecule: ribosomal RNA, 686 nt
Filed under: fungal sp.
Lineage: Eukaryota; Fungi
Description: eukaryotic LSU rRNA
Rfam family: 5.8S ribosomal RNA (bases 196-350)
Source: RNAcentral
UAACGAGUUAGGGUCUCUCUGGCCCGACCUCCCAACCCUUUGUCUACUUGACCAUCGUUGCUUCGGCGAGCCCGUCCUCACGGACCGCCGGAGGGAUCUUUACUGGCCCUCUGGUCCGCGCUCGUCGGUAGCCCAACCUUUAAAAUCUUUAACUAAACGUGCCUUAAUCUAAGUACAAUUAUUAAAUAAAAGCAAAACUUUCAACAACGGAUCUCUUGGUUCUGGCAUCGAUGAAGAACGCAGCGAAAUGCGAUAAGUAAUGCGAAUUGCAGAAUUCCAGUGAGUCAUCGAAUCUUUGAACGCACAUUGCGCCCUUUGGUAUUCCGAAGGGCAUGCCUGUUCGAGCGUCAUUAUCACCCCUCAAGCCCUCGGCUUGGUGUUGGACGGUUUGGUGGAGGCCCCCUCGGGGGUUCCUGCCCCUCCCAAAGACAAUGACGGCGGCCUCGUUGGACCCCCGGUACACUGAGUUCUUCACGGGACACGUAUCGGACACAUGGGUUUACGGGACACGGUCUGCCUCCCCUCAGGGAGAAUCUUUCUAAGGUUGACCUCGGAUCAGGUAGGGAUACCCGCUGAACUUAAGCAUAUCAAUAAGCGGAGGAAAAGAAACCAACAGGGAUUGCCUCAGUAACGGCGAGUGAAGCGGCAACAGCUCAAAUUUGAAAUCUGGCCUCUUUGGGGUCCGA